Molecule: ribosomal RNA, 200 nt
Filed under: uncultured bacterium
Lineage: Bacteria
Description: partial 16S ribosomal RNA
Rfam family: Bacterial small subunit ribosomal RNA
Source: RNAcentral
AGGCUGAAAUUCGCCUGCAUGAAGCCGGAAUUGCUAGUAAUGGCAGGUCAGCAUACUGCCGUGAAUACGUUCCCGGGCCUUGUACACACCGCCCGUCACACCAUGAGAGUUGGGGAUACCCAAAGCCCGUGAGCCAACUUUAAAAGAGGCAGCGGUCUAAGGUAGAAUCAAUGAUUGGGGUGAAGUCGUAACAAGGUACC